AGUAAACGCUGGCGGUAGGCCUAACACAUGCCAGUCGAACGGCAGCACAGUAAGAGCUUGCUCUUACGGGUGGCGAGUGGCGGACGGGUGAGGAAUACAUCGGAAUCUACUUUUUCGUGGGGGAUAACGUAGGGAAACUUACGCUAAUACCGCAUACGACCUACGGGUGAAAGCAGGGGAUCUUCGGACCUUGCGCGAUUGAAUGAGUCGAUGUCGGAUUAGCUAGUUGGCGGGGUAAAGGCCCACCAAGGCGACGAUCCGUAGCUGGUCUGAGAGGAUGAUCAGCCACACUGGAACUGAGACACGGUCCAGACUCCUACGGGAGGCAGCAGUGGGGAAUAUUGGACAAUGGGCGCAAGCCUGAUCCAGCCAUACCGCGUGGGUGAAGAAGGCCUGCGGGUUGUAAAGCCCUUUUGUUGGGAAAGAAAAGCAGCAGGUUAAUACCCCGCUGUUCUGACGGUACCCAAAGAAUAAGCACCGGCUAACUUCGUG
Molecule: ribosomal RNA, 492 nt
Filed under: uncultured bacterium
Lineage: Bacteria
Description: partial 16S ribosomal RNA
Rfam family: Bacterial small subunit ribosomal RNA
Source: RNAcentral